Long non-coding RNA from Ruditapes philippinarum (Manila clam), 2823 nucleotides. RefSeq lists it as uncharacterized. NCBI's taxonomy places the organism in Eukaryota, Metazoa, Mollusca, Bivalvia, Venerida, Veneridae. The transcript is spliced from 2 exons. The record is from RefSeq and is a predicted model, not a curated record.
UAUUCUGUUCAUUAUUUUAACAUUUGGAUCUACAGAAUUUUUUUAACUGAAGCAUUAACAUUUUGGCCUUAUUAUAUAUGUACAUAAUUACUUUGUAAAUUGCUAAAAAAAUGCAAAAUUAUCAUUGGCUCAUUGCAUGCUCACAUCAUUUAUUAAUUGUCUGUAUAUAUUGAAAGGUUUCUUUGAACUAUCACAUUGAGACAAGGGAGCUCUGUCAUAAUUCAAUACUCAAAAACAAUUCGAUUAUAACUGUUAAAAGAAAAACGUCCCAUUUCUAAUAACUGAUAUCUAACAGACUAUAUAAGGUUUUGUUUACCAAAAGUUGAUCUGUUUUUACCUUUUUAGCUCACCUGACCACGAAGUGGUCAAGGUGAGGUAUAGUGAUGGGGCUAUGUCCGGCGUCCGUCGUCGUGCGUCGUCAACAAUUGGGUUGUUAACAGUCUAGCAGUCACAGUUUUGAUUGGAUCAUCAUCAAACUUUGUCAGAAUGUUUGUCUCAAUGAAAUACAGAUCAAGUUCGAAGAUGGGUUGUCUCGGGUCAAAAACUAGGUCACAGGAGCUAAAAAUAGAAAAAGCUUGUUAACACUCUAGGGGCUGCAGUUUUCAUCCAAAUAUUUUGGAAAUUUGUCAGGAAGGUUGUUUUGAUGAUUUCUAGGUCAAGUUCGAAGAUGGGUCAUGUCUGGUCAAAAACUAGGUCACAGGAGCUAAAAAUAGAAAAAGCUUGUUAACACUCUAAUGGUUGCAGUUUUCAUCCAAACAUUCUGGAAAUUUGUCAGAAAGGUUGUUUUGAUGAUUUCUAGGUCAAGUUCGAAGAUGGGUUAUCUCCGGUCAAAAACUAGGUCACAGGAGCUAAAAAUAGAAAAAGCUUGUUAACACUCUAGUGGCUGCAGUUUUGAUUAAAAUAUUCUGGAAAUUUGUAAGGAAGGUUGUUUUAAUGAUUUCUAGGUCAAGUUCGAAGAUGGGUAAUGUCUGGUCAAAAACUAGGUCACAGGAGCUAAAAAUAGAAAAAGCUUGUUAACACUCUAAUGGUUGCAGUUUUCAUCCAAACAUUCUGGAAAUUUGUCAGAAAGGUUGUUUUGAUGAUUUCUAGGUCAAGUUCGAAGAUGGGUCAUCUCAGGUCAAAAACUAGGUCACAGGAGCUAAAAAUAGAAAAAGCUUGUUUACACUCUAGUGGCUGCAGUUUUCAUCUAAAUAUUCUGGAAAUUUGUCAAGAAGGUUGUUUUGAUGAUAUCUAAGUCAAGUUGGAAGAUGGGUCAUCUCCGGUCAAAAACUAGGUCACAGGAGCUAAAAAUAGAAAAGCUUGUUAACACAUUAGGGGCUGCAGUUUUCAUCCAAAUAUUCUGGAAAUUUGUCAGGAAGGUUGUUUUGAUGAUUUCUAGGUCAAGUUCGAAGAUGGGUUAUCUCCGGUCAAAAACUAGGUCACAGGAGCUAAAAAUAGAAAAAGCUUGUUAACACUCUAGUGGCUGCAGUAUUGAUUCAAAUAUUCUGGAAAUUUGUCAGGAAGGUUGUUUUGAUGAUUUCUGGGUCAAGUUCGAAGAUGGGUCAUCUCAGGUCAAAAACUAGGUCACAGGAGCUAAAAAUAGAAAAAGCUUGUUUACACUCUAGUGGCUGCAGUUUUGAUUCAAAUAUUCUGGAAAUUUGUCAAGAAUGCUGUUUUGAUGUUUUCUGGGUCAAUUGCUAAGAUUGGUCAUGUCCGGUCAAAAACUAGGUCACAGGAGCUAAAAAUAGAAAAAUCUUUUUAACACUCUAGUGGCUGCAGUUUUAAUCCAAAUUUCCUGGAAAUUGGUCAGGAAGGUUGUUUUGAUGAUUUCUAUGUCAAGUUUGAAUAUGGGUCGUGUCCGGUCAAAAAUUAGGUCACAUUGCCCAAAUAUGGAAAAAUCUUUAUAACACACUAGAGGUCACAUGUUUGACUUAGUUGUCAUUAACUUGGUCAUGAUGCUUGUUUAAGACAUUGCUUGGAUGCGGUUGUGUCAGGUGAGCGAUCCAGGGCCAUCAUGGCCCUCUUGUAUUUAAUAAAAUUCAAGCAAUAGAAUGUUAUUAUUUUUUUACUUUUUGUUUAUGCUUAUCAAAAUAAUAUUUAUUGUUAGCGCUUUUUUAUGGAUUGCCAAAUAUUGCUUUCAGUAUUAUUUAAAUAAAAUUCACAUUUGUAACAGAUUAUUUUUAAAAAUAUACAGGUACUUUUUUCACACUUUAUAUAUGUAUAGGUUUGAUCCAUAACUGUGAUCUUAACAGUAGAUAUAAGGUUUUUAUUGGUUGUUAUAUUUUGCAGUAAUAUAUCUAUUAUAGAUUAUAAUUGUUUAUAUAGAAAACUUCUUUGAUAAUAAAUUAACUUUUGCUUCAAACCUAACUGUUACCAGGACAAACCUAGCUGUCACAAGUGCACACCUACAUGUAACCGUUACCAGGACAAACCUAGCUGUCACUGGUGCACACCUACAUGUAGCCGUUACCAGGACAAAUCUUGCUGGUUACCUAACUGUUACUAGGACAAACCUAACCCUUACUAGAACAAGCGUCAUUGUGACUAGGACAGACUUAAUUGUGACUAGGUCAAACGUAAUUGUGACUAGGUAAAACAUAAUUGUGACUAGGUCAAGCAUCAUUGUGACUAGUUCAAGCAUCAUUGUGACUAGGACAGACCUAAUUGUGACUAAGUCAGACCUAAUUUUUACUAUGACAAAGCUUCCUGACCAGGACAAAGUCUUCCACUCUAGUCAAAUAUUUACAUUUUGAUUGAUAGGUCAGAAUAGAAUGACAAAUGCAUGGCAUCUAGUAUAAUAUGAAUAGAUGAUAAUUAUGAUAAAAAUACAAGUUUUUGAAUCAA